This 210-nucleotide ribosomal RNA is filed under the name uncultured bacterium. RNAcentral describes it as "partial 16S ribosomal RNA". It matches the Rfam family "Bacterial small subunit ribosomal RNA", at positions 524 to 734 of the family's 1533-position model. The record is from RNAcentral.
UACGGAGGGUGCGAGCGUUGUCCGGAAUCACUGGGCGUAAAGGGCGCGUAGGUGGCGCAGGAAGUCAACGGUGAAAGUUCGGGGCUCAACCCUGAAUCGGCCGUCGAUACUCCUGGGCUCGAGCACUGUAGAGGCAGAUGGAAUUCCGGGUGUAGCGGUGGAAUGCGUAGAGAUCCGGAAGAACACCGGUGGCGAAGGCGGUCGCUGGGC